This 488-nucleotide ribosomal RNA is filed under the name Bacillus paralicheniformis. Its description in RNAcentral is "bacterial LSU rRNA". It matches the Rfam family "Bacterial large subunit ribosomal RNA", at positions 1 to 480 of the family's 2925-position model. Lineage: Bacteria; Bacillati; Bacillota; Bacilli; Caryophanales; Bacillaceae. The record is from RNAcentral.
CGGUUAAGUUAGAAAGGGCGCACGGUGGAUGCCUUGGCACUAGGAGCCGAUGAAGGACGGGACGAACACCGAUAUGCUUCGGGGAGCUGUAAGCAAGCUUUGAUCCGGAGAUUUCCGAAUGGGGAAACCCACUGCUCGUAAUGGAGCAGUAUCCAUAUCUGAAUUCAUAGGAUAUGAGAAGGCAGACCCGGGGAACUGAAACAUCUAAGUACCCGGAGGAAGAGAAAGCAAAUGCGAUUCCCUGAGUAGCGGCGAGCGAAACGGGAACAGCCCAAACCAAGAGGCUUGCCUCUUGGGGUUGUAGGACACUCUGUACGGAGUUACAAAGGAACGAGGUAGAUGAAGAGGUCUGGAAAGGCCCGCCAUAGGAGGUAACAGCCCUGUAGUCAAAACUUCGUUCUCUCCUGAGUGGAUCCUGAGUACGGCGGAACACGUGAAAUUCCGUCGGAAUCCGGGAGGACCAUCUCCCAAGGCUAAAUACUCCCUAG